GUUUAGUCUUGUCUAUAUGUUAAUUGAAGAAUCAUUUAUGUUGUUGUAUUUUUUUGAUUUAAUUUUUUGUGCUAUAGUUUAUUUGUACCGUAUGGGGUUGAAGUUUAUAAUUAAUUUUUAGAAGUUAAUUUAGUUUAUUGUACCUUGUGUAUCAGGGUUUAUUGAAUUCUGUUAUUUAUUUUUAUUUCCCGAUUUUAAAGGAGUUAAUGAUUUAUGUUAGUUACUGUUUUAUUAGUAUUAAUAAUAUGUUAUUGGUAGUGAAAUGUUAAUCGUCUUUAGUGGUUUCUGGUUUUUCAAGAAAUGGAUUUAAUUCAUGCUCCUUAUUUAANNNNNNNNNNNNNNNNNNNNNNNNNNNNGCAUGUUAGAUUCUUUUGAGGAAUUCGGCAAAUUUUAUGUCCGCCUGUUUAACAAAAACAUCUUUUCUCGUUAGUUUUUGAAGUAUGACCUGCCCACUGACUUUUAAUUGUUGAAGGGCCGCGGUAUUUUGACCGUGCAAAGGUAGCAUAAUCAUUAGUUCUUUAAUUGUGAUCUGGUAUGAAUGGUUUGACGAGACAUUAACUGUCUUAAAUUAGUUGAAUAAUUUGUUGAAUUUAGUCUUUGAGUUAAAAUUCUUAAAUGUUUUUAUGGGACGAGAAGACCCUAUAGAGUUUGACAUUUAUAUUUAUUUACUGUUAUUGUUUGUUUAUUUGAUAUAGUAGGUUGAAUGUUUUGUUGGGGUGAUGGGAGGAAUUUAUAUAACUCCUCUUUGUUUAUAUAUACUUAUUUGUAUUUGAUUUGAUCCAUUUAUGUUGAUUAUAAGAUUAAAUUACCUUAGGGAUAACAGCGUAAUCUUCCCUGAGAGUUCUUAUUGGCGGGAAGGGUUGCGACCUCGAUGUUGGAUUAAGGUUAAUUUUCGGUGCAGGAGCUGAAAAUAAUUAGGUCUGUUCGACCUUUAAAAUCUUACAUGAUCUGAGUUCAGACCGGCGUGAGCCAGGUUGGUUUCUAUCUAUAGUAGUGUUGUUAUAUCUUAGUACGAGAGGACCGGAUAUUUGGAAUAAUUUUAUUUAUUAUGAUUAUUAAUAAUUUACUAUUUUGGCAGAUAAGUGCAU
This 1088-nucleotide ribosomal RNA is filed under the name Aganotermes sp. CAM124. RNAcentral's name for it is "16S ribosomal RNA". The stretch from base 623 to 990 matches the Rfam family "Bacterial large subunit ribosomal RNA", at positions 2074 to 2646 of the family's 2925-position model. Lineage: Eukaryota; Metazoa; Arthropoda; Insecta; Blattodea; Termitidae. The record is from RNAcentral.